This 27-nucleotide non-coding RNA is filed under the name Homo sapiens (human). The record is from RNAcentral. Lineage: Eukaryota; Metazoa; Chordata; Mammalia; Primates; Hominidae.
UGCUUGGUCCUUUACCCCACUGUGGUC